CUGCUUGCCCCAGCAUGUUUAACAGUUCAAUGGUUAACUGACGACAGAGUCCCUGUUCUGUAGCUCCCAGGAAGAUGUCAUCAACAUACUGAAGUAUUAUAUAUGAAAAAGGAGAUUCCUUUACCUGAGUAGUCUUCCAUUCUUCAAGUUCUUUUGCUAACUGAUUACCGAAUAUUGUAGGUGAACAUUUGAAUCCUUGUGGUAAUCGAGUCCAACCUGAGCAAAAUACA
Chiroxiphia lanceolata (lance-tailed manakin) is the source of this 230-nucleotide long non-coding RNA. RefSeq lists it as uncharacterized. The record is from RefSeq and is a predicted model, not a curated record. The transcript has 3 exons. Lineage: Eukaryota; Metazoa; Chordata; Aves; Passeriformes; Pipridae.